UUUGUCUAUGCUAAACUGCUUUCCAUUUGCUGCUUUACUCGCUGUUAAUUAUUCUGCUAGCUAGUUAGAGACCAGCUACUUGGCUAGGUAUCAAAUUAGCUAGUGUGAAAAUGUACAUUGGCUUGUUUUUGUUUUGUUUUGUUUUGUUUUUUAUUGUUGUUGUUGGUGGUGGUGGUGUUUUUGUAUACAUCUUUACAAGCCUCCAAAUCUUUAUCUGAAUCUUUUAUUUAGAGGCCAAAGCAGGAAUACAUGUUUCCAGGAGUCCAGAAAAGAAAAGAAACAACCUGAAGUGACCUGCACAGUUUCACUUGCUAGCGUCAACCCGGAGUAAGGAGAAGAAGGAAAAUCCCCAGAAAAUUCUGUGAAUUCUUUUUUCAGACAGACAUUUUAAGUUAAAAAAAAGAAAGAGAAAGAAACCUAAGUAGUUAACUAUACAUGAUUCUUCAUGUAAUUUGAGGAAGGGAUGAAUUCAGUCAUAAAAUGAGACGUUUGCGUUCUUUUUCCCCUCAGACUUGACAAAGAUUUGUAUGCGACACAAGUAAAAAGCAACACAGUGACAAGUUUUCCUCCAGAUAAACCAGGGUUUGAUGUCUGAAUGCAUGGCUUGGUACAAGUUAACAAAAAAAAAAAAAAAAAAGAUCACAUCCAUGCCUGCUAUGCCACUGUGGAAUUUUCUCACUCCAUGGGCUUGUCAUGGCCGUCAGGCUCGAACGAUUACAUCAGGACAACAGCUAGACUCAGCAUGAAGUGUUUAGCCUAACGUGCAUUGCUGUGCCAUGUCUGCAAGGUAACGACGUCAUGAUGGGAUGAAUAACACACACAGAUCACCUUGUUCAUGAGCAUGUUACUACAAGAUAUAUACUAGAAAGUAUACUAAUCGGAUGGAGGAAACUACAAUCCCUUAAAGACACUUCUAUGACUGUGGUGCAAACAUUGGAACAAACAUCAUACGUGAAGAACAUGCACCUGAGUUCAGGAUGGAAUCAGAAACCCCUGGAGCAAGUCUACAGAGCCCUGUAAGAAGGUUUGUAGCACUCUAUAGCUCUAUAACAUCCAGAUGUAAGGUGAGAUUUAGCUUCAAACAUUUUGCCGAAUUUGUUUAUGCGAUUUUAAGCCAUUCUUGAGUAAGCAUUAUCAAUAAUUGUUACAGAAUUUAUACGUUUUUUUUUUUUUUAGAAAAUUUUUGUCUUGUCUGUGAGGCACGUUCUAUCUGAGUGGUCUUGGAACCUGAGUGAUGACACACACUCAUAAAACUUAUCAUGACUUAUCAAGGUUUAAGGUGACAUCAUUUGUCACAGCAAGCAGAACAAUGUCAGAUUAGGAUGCUAAUGAACGUCGUCUGAGGUGAUGAUUCGGUAAUGUUCAGGGUCACGGCUAUAAAAUACGGCCGCUUUUACCUAGUCGGUGGAAGGACGAAGAAGUGGAAAGAUCUGUGCUUCAACUUUCUCUAGAAGGUUAUGAGAGAUUCUAAAAUUAAAACUAAAGCUUGUUUGUUUGUUUUUUAUCCAAGAAUAGUUACUACGCUCAAACUCCUUUUGCAUGUAUGUAACUAUAAUCUAUAUCUACAACAGAGGUUCAGGUGCUGGUAAAAGUGCAGGGUUUGAAACCCAGCUCAAGUCUGCUGGCCCGUGCAUGGCCGUCUGCCUCAGUGGGUUUCAAACACCGGCACGGCGGGUGGCUGUUUUCAGAUUGACCUUUGAUACGCUCCUGCCAUCUUCCACUCCCCCGGGUCUCAGGGCCACAGCAGAUGGGGAGUAGGACUCUCUCUCCUCAUUGCCUAUUCGCAGGGCUACAGGCUGUUGCGUGCGCCAGUAGGGUGGCGAGGAUUAAACAUGCGUGGAGGAAAAUGAAUGGAGGCAGAGCGUGCCCAUUUAUUCAGCUCCGUGUAAGGCUCAUUAACCCGAUGACGGGCUAGCAGGUCAUGCUGAUUUCCUUAUUUAACUUUAAUAUUUACCACAUACGCACACUCACUCUCGCUUUCUCUCUAUUACACACGUGCUCUCUCUCUCUCUCUCACACACACACACACACACACACACACACACACACACACACAUACACACUAAGAGAUGAAUAGUCAUAAACCUAGGAACUUAGUAUCAAUUAAACAAAGACUUAUUAAAUUAUAAAUUAGAUUUUUGUGUAUUAUCUACAUUCAAAUAAUUAACUGAAGAAAGUACAUUUAAAUUUGACAUUUAGUUCAAUCCAUGAAGGAAAGGCCGCAAAUUUUACAAAUAAGAAUUUGUUACGUUAUUAUGCUGUCAGACACAGAGCUGUAACCGAAAUCAUUAUUUCACCCCAUGCCGCCAUCAACUUUUCACUCUCCAGAAAAAAAGUUUAACCGUAACCCAUGACAGCAUAUGGGAGAUGUGCAGCGAGCCUCAGACUGGGCGACGGGUGCCAGGGGACGCCAGGCAACCAGCCUUUCGGCCCUUUUCAUCCCUCCCUCAGAUGAGCAGCAUCUCCAGGCCCCUGGGGAUCGGCUGACUUACGAUGAUCUUCCCCACACCCCACCAUCGUCCAUGGCAAAACACAAGGGCGUGAGUGUUACAGUGCUGAUGCAACUCGGCCCUCGUGUGUCUGCUGUGCCAAAAAGGCAUAAACGCUUAGAGGCAGGAAAUGCAGAGCCACACAUUAACGACCCUGAAGAACUGCCUCGAACUUAUCCCUUAACUUAUUCUUUGGGUUGUCCUUUUUUGAAUAGCACUUCAGUUUGUAAAUGUUUACCGAUUUUUGAUCCUUUUCAGCUCUUUAAAAGGAUCUGCAUGUAAGUUAUAUUACUGAUAAUAUUUUAAUUGCAAAUAUAUAGUAAAUCAAGUAUGUACUUUUAUAUAAAUAUUUAUUUGUAGAUGGU
Tachysurus fulvidraco (yellow catfish) is the source of this 2854-nucleotide long non-coding RNA. RefSeq lists it as uncharacterized. Lineage: Eukaryota; Metazoa; Chordata; Actinopteri; Siluriformes; Bagridae. The record is from RefSeq and is a predicted model, not a curated record. The transcript has 3 exons.